This 775-nucleotide ribosomal RNA is filed under the name uncultured Neocallimastigales. RNAcentral describes it as "partial large subunit ribosomal RNA". It matches the Rfam family "Eukaryotic large subunit ribosomal RNA", at positions 20 to 627 of the family's 3401-position model. The record is from RNAcentral. Lineage: Eukaryota; Fungi; Neocallimastigomycota; Neocallimastigomycetes; Neocallimastigales.
UACUAGAGUAGCACUCGCAUAUCAAUAAGCGGAGGAAAAGAAACUAACAAGGAUUCCCCUAGUAACGGCGAGUGAAGCGGGAAGAGCUCAAAUUUGAAAUCUUAAAGGGUUUCCCUUUACGAAUUGUAGUUUAAAGAAGUGUUUUCUGUUGAGGUUUUGGUUAAAAGUUCUUUGGAAUAGGACAUCAUAGAGGGUGAGAAUCCCGUAUUUGACCUUUACUUUCAACUUUGUGAUACACUUUCAAAGAGUCGGAUUGUUUGGGAAUGCAGUCCAAAAUGGGUGGUAAAUUUCAUCUAAAGCUAAAUAUUGGCGAGAGACCGAUAGCGAACAAGUACCGUGAGGGAAAGAUGAAAAGAACUUUGAAAAGAGAGUUAAACAGUACGUGAAAUUGUCAAAAGGGAAGCGUUUGACACCAGUGUUGUUUUUCUGAAAAUCAAUUAAAGAACUGUUUAUGCUAAGUUGUUUAGACUUUAUCAGCUAUCUGUUUAGUUUUGAGCUUUUCUUUAAUGCACUUUUCAGUUAACAAGUCAACAUCAAUUUCUUUUGCUGUAAAAAAGCUUGAGGAAGGUGGCUUGAGAUUCGUCUUAAGUGUUUAUAGCCUCUUGCCUAUGCAGUCGGAGAGAUUGAGGUCUGCAGCGUAGAUCCUUCGGGGCUGAAUGCAUUUGUGCUAAGUUAUAGCAUUUUAUAGACAACUUGUUGACUAUGAUUUGUCUUGUAGCUUACUCGCUUAUGUUAUUUUACCUACGCUUAGGAUGUUGAACUCUAUCACACACAG